CCUACGGGAGGCAGCAGUGGGGAAUAUUGGACAAUGGGGGGAACCCUGAUCCAGCCAUGCCGCGUGUGUGAAGAAGGCCCUCGGGUUGUAAAGCACUUUCAGUGGGGAAGAACGCCUGGUGGUUAAUACCCAUCAGGAAAGACAUCACUCACAGAAGAAGCACCGGCUAACUCCGUGCCAGCAGCCGCGGUAAUACGGAGGGUGCGAGCGUUAAUCGGAAUUACUGGGCGUAAAGCGCGCGUAGGUGGCUUGAUAAGCCGGUUGUGAAAGCCCCGGGCUCAACCUGGGAACGGCAUCCGGAACUGUCAAGCUAGAGUGCAGGAGAGGAAGGUAGAAUUCCCGGUGUAGCGGUGAAAUGCGUAGAGAUCGGGAGGAAUACCAGUGGCGAAGGCGGCCUUCUGGACUGACACUGACACUGAGGUGCGAAAGCGUGGGUAGCAAACAGGAUUAGAUACCCUGGUAGUC
This 465-nucleotide ribosomal RNA is filed under the name Vreelandella stevensii. Its description in RNAcentral is "partial 16S ribosomal RNA". It matches the Rfam family "Bacterial small subunit ribosomal RNA", at positions 338 to 795 of the family's 1533-position model. The record is from RNAcentral. Lineage: Bacteria; Pseudomonadati; Pseudomonadota; Gammaproteobacteria; Oceanospirillales; Halomonadaceae.